RNAcentral lists this long non-coding RNA (262 nucleotides) under Dermacentor andersoni. RNAcentral's name for it is "uncharacterized LOC126517706". The record is from RNAcentral. Lineage: Eukaryota; Metazoa; Arthropoda; Arachnida; Ixodida; Ixodidae.
UGCUGAAAAAAUUACGGUGGAAAGUUUGUGAGCGAAAACUACUCAUGAUACCAUUUGGUAUUUGUAGCCAGGAGGACAAACGCCCGAGCACCCAGGCUCAAUAACGACAAAAGAGGGAAGCUCUGAAGGGCCAACAGAAAGCACGCCGGAAACAGGAAGCCCCGCCAGAACGCGCUCAACGAAGGAAGGAAGAACCACACCGUGGGGACCAAUCUCGGGCCCGACAGAAGAAGGAAGCACUGAAGGGUCAACAGAAAGCCCG